GACGAACGCUGGCGGCGUGCCUAAUACAUGCAAGUCGAACGAGAGCGACCGGUGCUUGCACUGGUCAAUCUAGUGGCGCACGGGUGAGUAACACGUGGGUAACCUGCCCAUCAGAGGGGGAUAACAUCCGGAAACGGAUGCUAAAACCGCAUAGGUCUUCGAGCCGCAUGGCUUGAAGAGGAAAAGCGGCGCACGCUUCUGCUGAUGGAUGGACCCGCGGUGCAUUAGCUAGUUGGUGUGGUAACGGCUCACCAAGGCCGUGAUGCAUAGCCGACCUGAGAGGGUGAUCGGCCACAUUGGGACUGAGACACGGCCCAAACUCCUACGGGAGGCAGCAGUAGGGAAUCUUCCGCAAUGGACGCAAGUCUGACGGAGCAACGCCGCGUGAGUGAAGAAGGUGUUCGGAUCGUAAAACUCUGUUGUUAGAGAAGAACAAGUGCUAGAGUAACUGUUAGCGCCUUGACGGUAUCUAACCAGAAAGCCACGGCUAACUACGUG
RNAcentral lists this ribosomal RNA (498 nucleotides) under uncultured bacterium. RNAcentral describes it as "partial 16S ribosomal RNA". It matches the Rfam family "Bacterial small subunit ribosomal RNA", at positions 28 to 507 of the family's 1533-position model. The record is from RNAcentral.